UCAAUCUAACCUAUGGACGGGGAUAACCUCGGGAAACUGAGGAUAAACCCCGAUAGAUCAUUAUGCCUGGAACGGUUUAUGGUCCAAAUGAUUCGUCGCCGUAGGAUGGGACUGCGGCCUAUCAGCUUGUUGGUGAGGUAAUGGCCCACCAAGGCUAUUACAGGUACGGGCUCUGAGAGGAGAAGCCCGGAGAUGGGUACUGAGACACGGACCCAGGCCCUAUGGGGCGCAGCAGGCGAGAAACCUUUGCAAUGUGCGCAAGCACGACAAGGUUAAUCCGAGUGUUUCCUGCUAAAGGAAUCUUUUGUUAGUUCUAAAACCACUGAUGAAUAAGGGGUGGGCAAGUUCUGGUGUCAGCCGCCGCGGUAAAACCAGCACCUCAAGUGGUCAGGAGGAUUAUUGGGCCUAAAGCAUCCGUAGCCUGUUCUAUAAGUUUCCGGUUAAAUCCAUUAGCUCAACUAAUGGGCCGCCGAAAAUACUGUGGAACUAGGGAGUGGGAGAGGUAGACGGUACUCGGUAGGAAGGGGUAAAAUCCUUUGAUCUAUUGAUGACCACCUGUGGCGAAGGCGGUCUACCAAAACACGUUCGACGGUGAGGGAUGAAAGCUGGGGGAGCAAACCGGAUUAGAUACCCGGGUAGUCCCAGCUGUAAACGAUGCAGACUCGGUGAUGCGCUGGCUUGUGGCCAGUGCAGUGCCGCAGGGAAGCCGUUAAGUUUGCCACCUGGGAAGUACGUACGCAAGUAUGAAACUUAAAGGAAUUGGCGGGGGAGCACCACAAGGGGUGAAGCCUGCGGUUC
Molecule: ribosomal RNA, 798 nt
Filed under: uncultured archaeon
Lineage: Archaea
Description: bacterial SSU rRNA
Rfam family: Archaeal small subunit ribosomal RNA
Source: RNAcentral